AGCGAACGCUGGCGGCAGGCCUAACACAUGCAAGUCGAACGAACCUUUCGGGGUUAGUGGCGGACGGGUGAGUAACACGUGGGAACGUGCCUUUAGGUUCGGAAUAACUCAGGGAAACUUGUGCUAAUACCGAAUGUGCCCUUCGGGGGAAAGAUUAAUCGCCUUUAGAGCGGCCCGCGUCUGAUUAGCUAGUUGGUUGAGGUAAUGGCUCACCAAGGCGACGAUCAGUAGCUGGUCUGAGAGGAUGAUCAGCCACAUUGGGACUGAGACACGGCCCAAACUCCUACGGGAGGCAGCAGUGGGGAAUCGUGCGCAAUGGGCGAAAGCCUGACGCAGCCAUGCCGCGUGAAUGAUGAAGGUCUUAGGAUUGUAAAAUUCUUUCACCGGGGACGAUAAUGACGGUACCCGGAGAAGAAGCCCCGGCUGACUUCGUG
RNAcentral lists this ribosomal RNA (434 nucleotides) under uncultured bacterium. RNAcentral's name for it is "partial 16S ribosomal RNA". It matches the Rfam family "Bacterial small subunit ribosomal RNA", at positions 29 to 507 of the family's 1533-position model. The record is from RNAcentral.